RNAcentral lists this ribosomal RNA (468 nucleotides) under uncultured bacterium. RNAcentral's name for it is "partial 16S ribosomal RNA". It matches the Rfam family "Bacterial small subunit ribosomal RNA", at positions 28 to 507 of the family's 1533-position model. The record is from RNAcentral.
GACGAACGCUGGCGGCGUGCUUAACACAUGCAAGUCGAACGGAAAGGCCCUGCUUUUGUGGGGUGCUCGAGUGGCGAACGGGUGAGUAACACGUGAGUAACCUGCCCUUGACUUUGGGAUAACUUCAGGAAACUGGGGCUAAUACCGGAUAGGAGCUCCUGCUGCAUGGUGGGGGUUGGAAAGUUUCGGCGGUUGGGGAUGGACUCGCGGCUUAUCAGCUUGUUGGUGGGGUAGUGGCUUACCAAGGCUUUGACGGGUAGCCGGCCUGAGAGGGUGACCGGCCACAUUGGGAGUGAGAUACGGCCCAGACUCCUACGGGAGGCAGCAGUGGGGAAUAUUGCACAAUGGGCGGAAGCCUGAUGCAGCAACGCCGCGUGCGGGAUGACGGCCUUCGGGUUGUAAACCGCUUUCGCCUGUGACGAAGAGUGAGUGACGGUAAUGGGUAAAGAAGCACCGGCUAACUACGUG